This 253-nucleotide ribosomal RNA is filed under the name uncultured bacterium. RNAcentral's name for it is "partial 16S ribosomal RNA". It matches the Rfam family "Bacterial small subunit ribosomal RNA", at positions 524 to 776 of the family's 1533-position model. The record is from RNAcentral.
UACGGAGGGGACUAGCGUUGUUCGGAAUUACUGGGCGUAAAGCGCACGUAGGCGGAUUUGUAAGUCAGGGGUGAAAUCCCGGGGCUCAACCCCGGAACUGCCUUUGAUACUGCAAAUCUCGAGUCCGGAAGAGGUGAGUGGAAUUCCUAGUGUAGAGGUGAAAUUCGUAGAUAUUAGGAAGAACACCGGUGGCGAAGGCGGCUCACUGGCCCGCAACUGACACUGAGGAACGAAAGCUAGGGGAGCAAACAGC